GCUGGGCAUGGUGGCGUGCACCUAUAGUCCCACCUACUCGGAAGGCUGAGGUGGGAGGAUCGCUUGAGCCCAGGAGUUCUAGUCUGUAGUGUGCGAUGCUACAGGGUGUCCACACUAAGUCCGGCAUCAGUAUCUUACCUCCUGGGAGCAGGGGACCACCAGGUUGCAUAAGGAGGGGUCAGCUGGCCCAGGUGAGAAACUGAACAGGUCAGAACUCCCAUGCUCAUCAGUAUUGGGACUGCACCUGUGAAUAGCCACUGGACUCUAGCCUGGGCAACAUGGAGAGACCCUGCCUCU
Molecule: unclassified non-coding RNA, 297 nt
Organism: Cebus imitator (Panamanian white-faced capuchin)
Lineage: Eukaryota; Metazoa; Chordata; Mammalia; Primates; Cebidae
Rfam family: Metazoan signal recognition particle RNA
About the family: The signal recognition particle (SRP) is a universally conserved ribonucleoprotein.
Source: Ensembl